UUUCGUAUCACAGAAGUGUGUAUAUAUAUAUACAUACGUACACA
This 44-nucleotide small RNA is filed under the name Plasmodium falciparum 3D7. RNAcentral describes it as "Pfa-npcR7540". The record is from RNAcentral. Lineage: Eukaryota; Apicomplexa; Aconoidasida; Haemosporida; Plasmodiidae.